RNAcentral lists this long non-coding RNA (418 nucleotides) under Felis catus (domestic cat). RNAcentral's name for it is "lncRNA (ENSFCAG00000051482.1)". The record is from RNAcentral. Lineage: Eukaryota; Metazoa; Chordata; Mammalia; Carnivora; Felidae.
UUAGCCCACUGAGCCACGCAGGCACCUCACAAAGUCAACAAAUUCUUAAUGAGUGCUUUUCAUGUGCCAAAUGCUGACUCCACUGUGGUAAACUGUAGUUCCUGCCUCCAUACCCCUUUCCUGAAAAGAUCAGAAAGCUGAUGAAGAGAUUUUGCUUGAGUUUCCACGGGGAAAACUGGAGUCACUGAGAAACCAAAUUCCAGUCUCUUCAAGGUCACUUAAUGGAAAAGCAACAGGAGCCACACUCACUGCAGAAGUAGGACCUACCAAGGUGAGACACAGCAAUCUGCCCAUCUCACUGUGUGAAAGUCAUGAGGGAAUAAGACCCCUACAGCCUUCUAUUUCUUUGUCAGCCACAACACUAGGGUUCUGCCCCUGCUUCUCUUGCUAACAAGAUAUUGAAGUCUUCAUGCGAAUG